UAAAAUAAUUAAGGGCACACAAAGGAUGCCUAGGUAGUAAGAGCCGAUGAAGGACGUGGUAAGCUGCGAUAAGCCUAGAUAAGUUGCAAUCGAACGUAAGAGUCUAGGAUUUCCGAAUGGAGCAAUCUAUUAAGAUGGAGUCUUAAUACGAAAGAGGGAACCGCGUGAACUGAAACAUCUAAGUAACGCGAGGAAAAGAAAGUAAAAACGAUACCCAAAGUAGCGGCGAGCGAAAUGGGUCAAGCCUAAACCUUAAAUAUGUCAAGGAUACAGCCGUUGUAUUUAAGGGGUUGAGGGACAGAGUAGUGAAGAACUGUAAGAUAUUCAAUAUAGUGUAUUGAUGAAUUGGAAUUGUCUGGAAAGGCGAACCGUAGAAGGUGAAAGUCCUGUACAAGUAAAUCCUUACACAUAUAACUCUGCUCCCAAGUAACAUGGAACACGAGGAAUUCUGUGUGAAUCUGUGAGGACCAUAUCUCAUAAGGCUAAAUACUCUUACUAACCGAUAGCGCAUAGUACCGUGAGGGAAAGGUGAAAAGAACCCCUGGAGGGGAGUGAAAUAGAACCUGAAAUUGUGUGCUUACAAGCGGUCAGAGCCAGCAAUGGUGAUGGCGUGCCUUUUGGAGAAUGAUCCUGCGAGUUACGUUAAACGGCGAGGUUAAGUAUAACGGAGCCGAAGGGAAACCAAGUCUUAAUAGGGCGAUUUAGUCGUUUGGCGUAGACGCGAAACCUGGUGAUCUAAACCUGUCCAGGAUGAAGCUGUGGUAAGACACAGUGGAGGUCCUAACCCACCGCCGUUGAAAAGUUGGGGGAUGAGGUAGGUUUAGGGGUGAAAAGCCAAUCGAACCAGGAGAUAGCUCGUUCUCUCCGAAAUGUAUCUAGGUACAGCCUUGAGUGUUCAAUUAUGGGGGUAGAGCACUGAAUGAUCUAGGGGGCGUAUUGCUUACUGAAAUCAAUCAAACUCCGAAUACCAUAAUUUAUAGCUCAGGAGUGAGACUAUGGGAGUUAACUUCCAUUGUCGAAAGGGAAACAACCCAGACCACCAGCUAAGGUCCCUAAUUAUAACUAAGUGGGAAAGGAGGUGGAGAUUCACAAACAACUAGGAGGUUGGCUUAGAAGCAGCCAUACCUUUAAAGAGUGCGUAAUAGCUCACUAGUCGAGAGUCUCUGCGCCGACAAUGUAACGGGGCUAAGUUAUAAACCGAAGCUGUGGAAUCCGUAAGGAUUGGUAGGAGAGCGUUCUGUAGGCCGUUGAAGGAGAAGGGUAACCGACUCUGGAGGUAUCAGAAGUGAGAAUGCAGGAAUAAGUAGCGAGAAAGGGGGCGAGAAUCCCCCUCGCCGGAAGACCAAGGUUUUCAGGGUAAAGCUUGUCUUCCCUGAGUAAGCCGGGACCUAAGCCCAGGCUAUAAUGCGUAGGCGAAUGGAAAACAGAUUAAUAUUUCUGUGCCAGUCAUAUAUUGUGAUGGAGGGACGCAGAAGGGUAUGCGCGCGGACGAACGGAAGUGUCCGUAGAAGUAUGUAGGAUGACUUGAUAGGAAAAUCCAUUGAGUUAUAUCUGAGGUAUGAUAUACAGUCGUAAGAUGAAUGCGCAAAUCCCACGCUGCCAAGAAAAGCUUCUAACGUUAAUAUUUGACUGCCCGUACUGCAAACCGACACAGGUGGUCAGGAUGAGAAAUCUAAGGCGGACAGGCUAACUCUCGUUAAGGAACUCUGCAAAAUAACCUCGUAACUUCGGGAGAAGAGGAGCCCUUGAGGGUCAGUAUCCACGCGAUACAAAGCGCUCGAGGGUCGCAGUGAAGAGGCUCAAGCAACUGUUUAACAAAAACACAGGUCUAUGCUAAGCUGGAAGGCGAUGUAUAUGGGCUGACACCUGCCCAGUGCUGGAAGGUUAAGAGGAGGAGUGAGAGCUCCGAAUUGAAGCCCCAGUGAACGGCGGCCGUAACUAUAACGGUCCUAAGGUAGCGAAAUUCCUUGUCGGGUAAG
This 1979-nucleotide ribosomal RNA is filed under the name human oral metagenome. RNAcentral's name for it is "bacterial LSU rRNA". It matches the Rfam family "Bacterial large subunit ribosomal RNA", at positions 1 to 1980 of the family's 2925-position model. The record is from RNAcentral.